AACGAACUCUGGCGGCGUGGAUAAGACAUGCAAGUCGAACGAGAGAAUUGCUAGCUUGCUAAUAAUUCUCUAGUGGCGCACGGGUGAGUAACACGUGAGUAACCUGCCCCCAAGAGUGGGAUAGCCCCGGGAAACUGGGAUUAAUACCGCAUAAAAUCGCAAGAUUAAAGCAGCAAUGCGCUUGGGGAUGGGCUCGCGUCCUAUUAGUUAGUUGGUGAGGUAACGGCUCACCAAGGCGAUGACGGGUAGCCGGUCUGAGAGGAUGUCCGGCCACACUGGAACUGAGACUCGGUCCAGACACCUACGGGUGGCAGCAGUCGAGAAUCAUUCACAAUGGGGGAAACCCUGAUGGUGCGACGCCGCGUGGGGGAAUGAAGGUCUUCGGAUUGUAAACCCCUGUCAUGUGGGAGCAAAUUAAAAAGAUAGUACCACAAGAGGAAGAGACGGCUAACUCUGUGCCAGCAGCCGCGGUAAUACAGAGGUCUCAAGCGUUGUUCGGAAUCACUGGGCGUAAAGCGUGCGUAGGCGGUUUCGUAAGUCGUGUGUGAAAGGCGGGGGCUCAACCCCCGGACUGCACAUGAUACUGCGAGACUAGAGUAAUGGAGGGGGAACCGGAAUUCUCGGUGUAGCAGUGAAAUGCGUAGAUAUCGAGAGGAACACUCGUGGCGAAGGCGGGUUCCUGGACAUUAACUGACGCUGAGGCACGAAGGCCAGGGGAGCGAAAGAGAUUAGAUACCCCUGUAGUCCUGGCAGUAAACGGUGCACAAAGGGUGUGCAGGGAAUCGACCCCCUGCGUGCCGGAGCUAACGCGU
RNAcentral lists this ribosomal RNA (812 nucleotides) under uncultured bacterium. RNAcentral describes it as "bacterial SSU rRNA". It matches the Rfam family "Bacterial small subunit ribosomal RNA", at positions 28 to 860 of the family's 1533-position model. The record is from RNAcentral.